Long non-coding RNA from Salvelinus sp. IW2-2015, 303 nucleotides. RefSeq lists it as uncharacterized. NCBI's taxonomy places the organism in Eukaryota, Metazoa, Chordata, Actinopteri, Salmoniformes, Salmonidae. The record is from RefSeq and is a predicted model, not a curated record.
UCUUUACGGUCAGGGACAGUAUGAGUGUAGCCAGAUCCUUUUCACUCUCUAUCCUUGUUUCAUUUUGUGGUUCACCGGAUCUCGCAUUUUCAUCGAGACGAGGUACAGAACGACCAGCUAGCUAGCCAAGCUAGUCGGUACAGCUCGCCCAAUCAAGCAGGAGAGACCAGCCUCCCCUGUACCCAGCUGUGUGUCCAUGAAGAGUGACUGGUCUAUGGGUCCUCCUAUAUCCUUUAGAGAGGGAGACUUUUCUACUGAACAAAGAAACCAACAGGAGAGAUCAGAGUCAGAGAUUCUCAGUGG